RNAcentral lists this ribosomal RNA (431 nucleotides) under uncultured bacterium. Its description in RNAcentral is "partial 16S ribosomal RNA". It matches the Rfam family "Bacterial small subunit ribosomal RNA", at positions 338 to 795 of the family's 1533-position model. The record is from RNAcentral.
CCUACGGGAGGCAGCAGUGGGGAAUAUUGGACAAUGGGCGCAAGCCUGAUCCAGCCAUGCCGCGUGAGUGAUGAAGGCCCUAGGGUUGUAAAGCUCUUUCACCGGUGAAGCGGUAACCGGAGAAGAAGCCCCGGCUAACUUCGUGCCAGCAGCCGCGGUAAUACGAAGGGGGCUAGCGUUGUUCGGAAUUACUGGGCGUAAAGCGCACGUAGGCGGAUAUUUAAGUCAGGGGUGAAAUCCCGGGGCUCAACCCCGGAACUGCCUUUGAUACUGGGUAUCUAGAGUCCAGAAGAGGUGAGUGGAAUUCCGAGUGUAGAGGUGAAAUUCGUAGAUAUUCGGAGGAACACCAGUGGCGAAGGCGGCUCACUGGCUGUACUGACGCUGAGGUGCGAAAGCGUGGGGAGCAAACAGGAUUAGAUACCCUUGUAGUC